Molecule: ribosomal RNA, 151 nt
Filed under: Tricholoma matsutake
Lineage: Eukaryota; Fungi; Basidiomycota; Agaricomycetes; Agaricales; Tricholomataceae
Description: 5.8S rRNA
Rfam family: 5.8S ribosomal RNA
About the family: 5.8S ribosomal RNA (5.8S rRNA) is a component of the large subunit of the eukaryotic ribosome.
Source: RNAcentral
UUAUACAACUUUCAACAACGGAUCUCUUGGCUCUCGCAUCGAUGAAGAACGCAGCGAAAUGCGAUAAGUAAUGUGAAUUGCAGAAUUCAGUGAAUCAUCGAAUCUUUGAACGCACCUUGCGCUCCUUGGUACUCCGAGGAGCAUGCCUGUU